AUAGAGGGGAAUAGCCUUCCGAAAGGAAGAUUAAUACCGCAUAAGAUUGUAGUAUCGCAUGAUACAGCAAUUAAAGGAGCAAUUCACUAUGAGAUGGACCCGCGUCGCAUUAGCUAGUUGGUGAGGUAACGGCUCACCAAGGCGACGAUGCGUAGCCGACCUGAGAGGGUGAUCGGCCACAUUGGGACUGAGACACGGCCCAGACUCCUACGGGAGGCAGCAGUGGGGAAUAUUCAAAGAUGGGGGAAACCCUGA
RNAcentral lists this ribosomal RNA (255 nucleotides) under uncultured bacterium. Its description in RNAcentral is "partial 16S ribosomal RNA". It matches the Rfam family "Bacterial small subunit ribosomal RNA", at positions 133 to 386 of the family's 1533-position model. The record is from RNAcentral.